This 370-nucleotide long non-coding RNA is filed under the name Mytilus galloprovincialis (Mediterranean mussel). The record is from RNAcentral. Lineage: Eukaryota; Metazoa; Mollusca; Bivalvia; Mytilida; Mytilidae.
AAGUCUUUCCACUUUUCUGUGGAAAGACUUAUUGUUUUUCUUCUGAUUAUUAUUUUUUUUUCCGCCAUAUUUUGUUCUUGCGAUAAAUGUUUGUUUCGCAAUAUGUCGCUUAGAUAUUUCUCAUAUUGUAUCGUAUAGUUUUUGCGCUUUUAAAUUUCACCCUGCUAAGCCGAACCAUUUUCUUUGUAAGAGUUAUCUCCCUAUUCACUGUUUAUCAUCUGUGUGCAUCUUCUUCGUAACAAAAAAAGAUAGCGACAAAAUUCUUUUUACAAAUUGUUCGUUACAUCCUUAGUAAUUUUUGGCGUAUUUAGAUCGAAGCGAUUCGAUGAAAUUUUAUAGGAGUUAUCUACCUUUACAAAAUAAAUUUGUC